AGGGAGAGUACGAGUUCGCAGGCCUGCCUGCUGACUUUGUUUAACGGCCGCCGUACCCUACCCGUGCAAAGGUAUCACUUUCACUUGUUCCGUAGACUUGGAUCUGUAUGAAUGGCUCCGUUAGGGUGCCUCUGCUUUUUACUUUUAACCAUUGAAAUUGCCCUGCCCAAGAAGAGGUGGGCAUAUCACACCAAAACAACCAGAGCCUAUGGAGA
RNAcentral lists this ribosomal RNA (215 nucleotides) under Laudakia tuberculata. RNAcentral describes it as "partial 16S ribosomal RNA". Lineage: Eukaryota; Metazoa; Chordata; Lepidosauria; Squamata; Agamidae. The record is from RNAcentral.